RNAcentral lists this ribosomal RNA (497 nucleotides) under uncultured bacterium. Its description in RNAcentral is "partial 16S ribosomal RNA". It matches the Rfam family "Bacterial small subunit ribosomal RNA", at positions 28 to 507 of the family's 1533-position model. The record is from RNAcentral.
GAUGAACGCUGGCGGCGUGCCUAAUACAUGCAAGUCGAGCGAACGGACGAGAAGCUUGCUUCUCUGAUGUUAGCGGCGGACAGGUGAGUAACACGUGGAUAACCUACCUAUAAGACUGGGAUAACUUCGGGGAACCGGAGCUAAUACCGGAUAAUAUUUUGAACCGCAUGGUUCAAAAGUAAAAGACGGUCUUGCUGUCACUUAUAGAUGGAUCCGCGCUGCAUUAGCUAGUUGGUAAGGUAACGGCUUACCAAGGCAACGAUGCAUAGCCGACCUGAGAGGGUGAUCGGCCACACUGGAACUGAGACACGGUCCAGACUCCUACGGGAGGCAGCAGUAGGGAAUCUUCCGCAAUGGGCGAAAGCCUGACGGAGCAACGCCGCGUGAGUGAUGAAGGUCUUCGGAUCGUAAAACUCUGUUAUUAGGGAAGAACAUAUGUGUAAGUAACUGUGCACAUCUUGACGGUACCUAAUCAGAAAGCCACGGCUAACUACGUG